Molecule: non-coding RNA, 915 nt
Organism: Oryza sativa Japonica Group (Japanese rice)
Lineage: Eukaryota; Viridiplantae; Streptophyta; Magnoliopsida; Poales; Poaceae
Source: RefSeq, a predicted model, not a curated record
UGGCCACGCCACCGUCACUCUCUCGAGCGCAGCAGCAGAGUCGUGUCGUUUCCUCCGAGGGCAGCAGCAGUCACCACUGCCACCGCCGCUUUCUCGAGCGCAGCCGUCGCCGCUCCCUUCACGCUGCCGUUACCGCGCACCGGACCACGCGCACCCUCUGCGCCGUCGUCGCCGCUCCCUUUCUCCGCGCAUAGGAACCAUCGUCGCAUCUCCCAUUUUCCGGAAGAAGCAACCGCCGCCGCUGCCGCUUCCUUUCUCCACGUGCAGCAGCUGUGCUGCCACCACAGCUCCCUCCCUCCGCAAGUUGCCGCUGCGCCGCCAUAUGACCGUGCGAGGCGUGGCGUCGGCGCCGGCGGGCGGAGGCGGCUGUUCGGUGCGUUCCGGCGGCUGCGGGUGCGGUGGCUAGUGGCGUUGUACCGCCGCUCGCUGCGGCGGCUGCGCGCGUACUACACCAAGGCGGUCCAAGACUUCCUCGAGGGCGCGACGGCCAUGAGCACGCUGCAUGCACUCGACAUGAAGAAAUGGAGCAGUAGCACCGGUGACGGCAGGCGAGCGAAGGAGCGGCGGCGACAGGCGAGCGCAGCUGGUGGAGCGGCGACGGCGGGCGAGCUUAGGAGGAGCGGCGGCGGUGGCAGGCGAGUGUGGCGGGCGGAGCGGCGACGGCGACGGCGACGGCGGGCGAGCUUAGGAGGAGCAGGAGCGGCGGGCGAGUGCCACGACGACAGGCGAAGCGGCAGCGAGCAAGGUUGAAGGCAGCGGUUGAGAGCAGAGAGAGAAUGAGAGAGGGAGUAAAGGAUAUGGAAGAAAAAAAGAAAAAGAAAAAAAAUCAAAGGGUAGAACCGUACUUACAUAGCUGUUUCUCUCUUCAAUUUUUCCAGAUAUAAUAAAAUAAUCCCACGGGUGUCCAGCAGCUAA